RNAcentral lists this ribosomal RNA (551 nucleotides) under uncultured bacterium. RNAcentral's name for it is "bacterial SSU rRNA". It matches the Rfam family "Bacterial small subunit ribosomal RNA", at positions 355 to 896 of the family's 1533-position model. The record is from RNAcentral.
UAGGGAAUCUUCGGCAAUGGACGGAAGUCUGACCGAGCAACGCCGCGUGAGUGAAGAAGGUUUUCGGAUCGUAAAGCUCUGUUGUAAGAGAAGAACGAGUGUGAGAGUGGAAAGUUCACACUGUGACGGUAUCUUACCAGAGAGGGACGGCUAACUACGUGCCAGCAGCCGCGGUAAUACGUAGGUCCCGAGCGUUAUCCGGAUUUAUUGGGCGUAAAGCGAGCGCAGGCGGUUAGAUAAGUCUGAAGUUAAAGGCUGUGGCUUAACCAUAGUACGCUUUGGAAACUGUUUAACUUGAGUGCAAGAGGGGAGAGUGGAAUUCCAUGUGUAGCGGUGAAAUGCGUAGAUAUAUGGAGGAACACCGGCGGCGAAAGCGGCUCUCUGGCUUGUAACUGACGCUGAGGCUCGAAAGCGUGGGGAGCAAACAGGAUUAGAUACCCUGGUAGUCCACGCCGUAAACGAUGAGUGCUAGGUGUUGGGUCCUUUCCGGGACUCAGUGCCGCANCNNNNNGCAUUAAGCACUCCGCCUGGGGAGUACGACCGCAAGGUUG